RNAcentral lists this unclassified non-coding RNA (1481 nucleotides) under Cimex lectularius (bed bug). RNAcentral's name for it is "lysine-specific demethylase 8-like, transcript variant X3". Lineage: Eukaryota; Metazoa; Arthropoda; Insecta; Hemiptera; Cimicidae. The record is from RNAcentral.
AGCUACACAUCAGCUGCUCAACUAGUUCCAUAUACCUCUACUGUCAAAUUUCACCCAAUUUGACAACAGUCACAUAUACCGUAAGCACAUUUUAUAAAUAACUUUUUAUGCAAGAAAACGUGCCAAACUUUCUGACCGGUAGCUGAAUCUGCAACAGUUGAAAAAUGGAAAAGCUAAACAGCAUCAUCAGCCAGCUCAAAGUGUUUUUAAAGACAGACAGGCUUUCUCAGGUUAGAGAUGCCCUUCCGGAUUCGUUAUUCCUUUUGGAGAAGGGAUAUAAUUUAGUAACGACAGACAAUACAACGAGAUACUCGUUGAAACUAAUUGAAAGCGUAAUCGACAUCUCUUGGGAAGAUCUUAACAUAGGCCAUUGGAGUACAGUGCCAGAGAAUCAUAGAAAACUGCAUGCGCUUGCUUGUUUUUUAAAAGUUAUAGGAUUGCUCCAAUUGGCGAUGCAGGAUGAUGAAAAUACGGCGGACAAUUUAAAGGAAGCUGUACGAACUGCUGACUUAGGAUUGAUUUUAGGUUGUGGCUUUCAUGAUGAACUUUCAACUGCUGCUAGACUAAUCAGCUCAGCUUUAUUUGAACUUGAAUCAGACAGUUUUGACCCUGAAAUUUCCAAGUGUACUUAUUCUUCUAACUGUGAUGCAUUCCCAGGAAUAAAAGGAGAAGAAAUAUGUUCUCUCAAACUCCCUUCAUUGCAAUAUUUCAGCGAACAUCAUUUUUAUCCACAGAAACCAGCCAUAUUGCUUGAUUGUAUCUCUCAUUGGCCAGCAUUUGGAAAGUGGGAUAAUAUAAAUUAUUUAAAAAAGGUCGCUGGGCACAGAACAGUACCGAUUGAACUCGGAUCAUCGUAUACGGAAAACGAUUGGGGGAUGCGGCUGACGACUUUACAGGAAUUUAUCGAAAACCAUAUUAUCAGAAAAGGCGAUUCAGUUGGAUACCUUGCCCAGCAUCAACUGUUCAAUCAGGUCCCUGAAUUGCAAAAUGAUAUUUGCGUACCUGAAUAUUGUUGUAUUUCAGAUUUAGAAGACGGAAGUUACGGAGUAGACACAAAUGCUUGGUUCGGCCCAGCAGGAACUGUAACUCCGUUGCAUUACGAUCCUAAACACAACUUAUUCUGCCAGCAAGAGGGUAUUAUUGUACUCACCAGAAGAUUCGGAAAAUUUAUAUCCUCAUGAUGCUACAAUGCUCAAUAAUACGGCACAGGUCGAUCCUUAUUCUCCAAACUACGAUUUAUUUCCAAAAUAUAGACAAGCCAAAGCAUAUGAAUGCCAUUUAAGACCAGGGGAGAUGUUAUACAUUCCUCCAAAAUGGUGGCAUCAUAUCCGAUCUUUGGAUAUUAGCUUCUCAGUCAGUUUUUGGUGGGAAUAAGAAAAAAAAUGAUUUAAACGGUUUUGGAGCUAAUGAAGAUUCAUGAUGCACAAACGCAUGCCUGACCCAUUCUUCAUCGUAAAACCUUGGAUCAGCAAGUCUUAGAA